AGAGUUUGAUCCUGGCUCAGAAUCAACGCUGNGGCAUGCCUAACACAUGCAAGUCGAACGCGGUUACUCCGCAAGGAGUGACUGAGUGGCGAACGGGUGAGUAACGCGUGGGUGACCUACCUUCGAGUGGGGGAUAACGUCCCGAAAGGGACGCUAAUACCGCAUGACAUCCUGUCCUUGAACGGAUGGAGAUCAAAGCUGGGGAUCGCAAGANACCGGCGCUUGAUGAGGGGCCCGCGUCCGAUUAGCUAGUUGUGAGGUAACGGGCCACCAAGGCACACGAUCGGUAUCCGGCCUGAGANGGCGGACGGACACACUGGGACUGAGACACGGGCCAGACUCCUACGGGAGGCAGCAGNUGGGGAAUUGUUCGCAAUGGGCGCAAGCCUGACGACGCAAUGCCGACGUGGAGGAUGAACGGUCUUCGGAUUGUAAACUCNC
RNAcentral lists this ribosomal RNA (441 nucleotides) under uncultured soil bacterium. Its description in RNAcentral is "bacterial SSU rRNA". It matches the Rfam family "Bacterial small subunit ribosomal RNA", at positions 8 to 434 of the family's 1533-position model. The record is from RNAcentral.